Molecule: ribosomal RNA, 250 nt
Filed under: uncultured bacterium
Lineage: Bacteria
Description: partial 16S ribosomal RNA
Rfam family: Bacterial small subunit ribosomal RNA
Source: RNAcentral
UACGUAGGGGGCGAGCGUUGUCCGGAUUUAUUGGGCGUAAAGAGCGCGUAGGCGGCUUGCCAAGUCGUGCGUGAAAUACCUCGGCUCAACUGGGGUGGGUCGUGCGAUACUGGCAGGCUUGAGGUCGGAAGGGGGAAGCGGAAUUCCCGGUGUAGUGGUGGAAUGCGUAGAUAUCGGGAGGAACACCAGUGGCGAAGGCGGCUUCCUGGUCCGAAUCUGACGCUGAGGCGCGAAAGCGUGGGGAGCGAAC